AUUGAACGCUGGCGGCAGGCCUAGCACAUGCCAGUCGAGCGGAUGAAGGGAGCUUGCUCCUGGAUUCAGCGGCGGACGGGUGAGUAAUGCCUAGGAAUCUGCCUGGUAGUGGGGGAUAACGUCCGGAAACGGGCGCUAAUACCGCAUACGUCCUGAGGGAGAAAGUGGGGGAUCUUCGGACCUCACGCUAUCAGAUGAGCCUAGGUCGGAUUAGCUAGUUGGUGGGGUAAAGGCCUACCAAGGCGACGAUCCGUAACUGGUCUGAGAGGAUGAUCAGUCACACUGGAACUGAGACACGGUCCAGACUCCUACGGGAGGCAGCAGUGGGGAAUAUUGGACAAUGGGCGAAAGCCUGAUCCAGCCAUGCCGCGUGUGUGAAGAAGGUCUUCGGAUUGUAAAGCACUUUAAGUUGGGAGGAAGGGCAGUAAGUUAAUACCUUGCUGUUUUGACGGUACCAACAGAAUAAGCACCGGCUAACUUCGUG
RNAcentral lists this ribosomal RNA (484 nucleotides) under uncultured bacterium. RNAcentral's name for it is "partial 16S ribosomal RNA". It matches the Rfam family "Bacterial small subunit ribosomal RNA", at positions 30 to 507 of the family's 1533-position model. The record is from RNAcentral.